UCAGAUGCCAGGGUGGGCUUCCUCUUCUGCCUGACUGGGUUUCUGCCAUGGACAUCAUCAGAGCAAAUGAAGUGUUGGAUAUUGAAGCCAGUACCUAGAACAUGUGUGGCAAGCUGUUUACCACUGAGCAACACAGCCUCUGCUCCUAAGGGUCUAUCUAAAAGAAAUUAAAUGUGUUUAUACAGA
Long non-coding RNA from Grammomys surdaster, 186 nucleotides. RefSeq lists it as uncharacterized. Lineage: Eukaryota; Metazoa; Chordata; Mammalia; Rodentia; Muridae. The transcript is spliced from 2 exons. The record is from RefSeq and is a predicted model, not a curated record.